This 3302-nucleotide unclassified non-coding RNA is filed under the name Leishmania donovani. Its description in RNAcentral is "gene:LdHU3.10.1610(CDS-product:Ras-related_protei n_RabX1_putative)". Lineage: Eukaryota; Euglenozoa; Kinetoplastea; Trypanosomatida; Trypanosomatidae. The record is from RNAcentral.
UUCUCUUCCUUCGAGUAUCUACACCAUAUCCCCGCCGUGCCUCCACACUUGCGCGCGCCGUGUCUCUCUCUUGCACAUACGGACAACCGCACGCACUCACACACGUGUCUUUUCUUGCUCUUCUUGCUCUCUCCCUCUCUCUCUCUGGCCCCUCCAUCCCUCCUAGACACCAGUCGAUACGACGCCGUGGCACCAGGAAGCUCCACAAACAAGCUACGCCACCUGUACCCUACACACCAGUGCACCGCCCCCUUUGGCUCCCCCGUGUGCCCCCACCCCCUUUCGUCCACUUCCUUGUCGAACACAAGUGCGCGUCGUCUAUAGGCCACGUAUAUACGAGGAAAACGCAUACACGCCCCUUGGACCACCGACUUCACCCCUCGUCUUCCCCACCGUGAUCAUGGCCAACCCCAACACGCCCGGCGGUGACUGCGACUACAUCUUCAAGAUCAUUGUCAUUGGUGACAGUGGCGUAGGCAAGUCAUCCUUGACGGUGCGUCUCUCCGAAGAUGUCUUCUACAAGGACUACGCCUCCACCAUCGCCAUCGACUUUCGCAUGCACCAGAUGAACUACAUGGACAAGCGCGUCCGCCUUCAGAUUUGGGACACGGCCGGCCAGGAGCGCUUCCAGUCCGUCGCCACGGCGUUCUACCGCGGCGCCAAUGGGGUGCUGCUCUGCUUCGACCUCACCCACCGCCCGUCCUUUAUACACCUAGAGCAGUGGAUGGAACGCGUGAAGCAGCAGGCUCUCCCCGGUAUCCCGUGUCUGCUGGUGGGGUGCAAAAGCGAUGAGGCGCGCUCCAGCCGCCAGGUGACGCGCGAGGAGGCGGUAGCCUGGGCUCAGCAACACAACAUGGCCUUCAUCGAGACGAGCGCCAAGGAGAAGGAGAAUGUGCAGACGGCUUUCCAGCAGAUCACCAAGUUCAUCUUCGAGGACAUGAAGGAGCGCAACGGCAAGACACCGACGGCUGGAGACAACGCAGCUGGCCGCUCUCAGAGCGUUAACUUCGAUCGCCAGCGGAGCAACCGCAAGGAGAGCAAGUGCUGCUAGUCGUGAGCACCCACAAUGGCAGUAUAACACUACCUUGAAUGGCAGACACAGUUAGAACCGAAAACACGCGCACACGGAGAAACGUUCACAGGCACGGCUGCCUGUCAAGUGGGAACCCUUCUAGGGCGAUGUCUGAGGAACUGGUGUUGCGGAAAAGAGAGCGUGGUUGGCGUGGAUGUGUAAGCGGCGCUGGUGUCGCCGCCUCUCUGCUCUCGCUUCUCCCUCCCAUGCGGUGUUUCUUUGGCCCCCCCGUCUUCUCUCCCUUUUUUUUUGUUGUUGGUACCGCUUGCGUCUGCCUGCCUGCUUGAUAACUCUCCCUCUCUUUUCUUGCUUUUCUUUUCCCUCUCACUCGGUGUGGAUUAGCCAAGGAAGGGGGCACGGUGGGGAGAGGAGACGUAGCGGGAAUCUUCAUGUGGCCGUUCUCGGCAUAUGUCGGCGCUUCACAUCAUCUUGCCUGCAACUGAGGCGUAUCUCGCGCAGCCUUCUUUGCGCUGUUCUUUCGCUUCUGGUCUCUGCGUGUGUGUGGGUGUGUAGGGUGGUGUUGUGCGUCUCAGUUCGUUUCUCCCACACUCGCCCCUUUUUGGGCUCGCCCCACUCCCCACCCCACCCCUCCUUCCUUCCUUAGAUGUAUUGCCUUACCACGUGGCACCCCCUCUCCAUUCAGGCCUACUUCACUAACCACGCCACGGCCGUAGCCGUUGGGCGUGUCUGUGUGUCUCUGUGUAUGUGUAUGUGUGUGUCGCAGCGCUUCUCGCCCUUCCUCCUUCAGCAAGAACUGCGCGCGCUUGUGCUCUGUUUGUGUGCUCUGCUUCUUGAGCGUACGUGUACGCCAUCACACUUGCGCGCACACACACGCACGGCUACUCCCAGUGACUGACGCGCGUGAAUCUAACACGGGUGAUGAUGGAGGCAAGCGGGCUUGCGAAGAAGAAACAGCAGCAAGAGACGGGAACGAAUGCAAAGAGCGAAAGAAAGACAGCGCCUCUCCGCUAAUGGGCACAUGCAGGUGUGUACGCACAUAUAUAUGUGUAUAUAUCGAGAGAGAGAGAGAUGCACGUGUAUGUGUGUCUGUGUUUUGGAUGUCUCCCACGCAUACAUCAGCGCGCGCACACACACAUGCGUACACACAUGCAUACAUGCACUCUCUCUGAUCCCCAUUUUUAUUGCUGUGCCGUCGUUAUGCUUGCAUCUUUUUGUUGUUGUUUUUUCUGCUGCUGCUGAGAUCCAUGCGCUUGUCCUCUACCCUUCCUUCUUGUGUGCUUGUGCAUGUACCCUACCAGCAUCACCUGGCACAGACACAUAAACCUACACACACACCGGCCCCCCCCCUGUAUACACACACACACAGGCACACUUGCCUUAGUAUGUGUGUGUGUGUGGGUGGGUGGGUGGGUGGAUGUAGGUUGGUGUGUAUCAGAGUGCAUGUGUCUGUGCUUUUCUUUCUCUCCCGUCUCGUUGUGCGUGUACGUGCGCUCUUUCGGGCUUCGUUGUGGAUGUUUACCCUCUCAUCAUCAUCGCUGUGUCUCUGCCUUUUCUGUGCGUGUGUGUGGGGGGGGGCGAUGCGUAGCUGUUUGUGCGUGCACACGCGCCUUCCCUCUUUUGCUGACUCUUUUGGCUGUCCUUCGUGUGGUGUUUCUGUCUUUGCUGUAGCCGUUUCCUUUCCUCGGCUGUGUUGCUGCCUCUCCCCCUCUCCUCCCCUCCCUUUGGUGUAUGCAAGUGUGGUGCACGAAAGGCGAAACAACCAUGAGAUGAUGCACCUAAUGAGUCGUCCCGCCAACGCUCCCACCCCACCCCCAUCCUUGCGAUGCCGCGGUUAGUGACGGGUGCACACACACACACACACACACACAGGCGCCAGUGACUACGCUGGCAACUCUGUACAGGAUGCGUUUGUUUGCGCCCCUCUCGCUCUUGGUGUGUUCCAGGACGUGCAGGAUGAGAUCAAGGUACAGUAAACCUGUAGCGUUUACGCCUUUCGUCACCUGCUUUACGUGGCAACGAGCGUAUCAUUCGGUGUCUGGCCAGCCCUGAGGGGGGGCGUGGCUCUGCUUUCCCACCCCCGCCCUCCUCUUCUCCACCCUCCCUGCUUGCGUGCGUUUGGUACGGACACUGCCGCGUGUGCUUCGUGUGCAGUGGCACCGCUACUCCUCCCCAUCCUCCUCCGAUCUUCUUACCUCGUUUGUCUUUGCUAUACGUGCUCGGUGUGCUGGCGGCUGUCGGAUGCGGCUGUGUGUGCCGCCUGCACAUGCAG